RNAcentral lists this unclassified non-coding RNA (761 nucleotides) under Hevea brasiliensis (rubber tree). Lineage: Eukaryota; Viridiplantae; Streptophyta; Magnoliopsida; Malpighiales; Euphorbiaceae. The record is from RNAcentral.
GGAAGAUGGAACUGAACCAGCAGAUGGAGAACUCUUCAGAAGCUUGGUUGGAGGUUUGACAUAUUUAACCCAUACAAGACCUGACAUCGCUUUUUCUGUUGGUUUGAUAUCAAGAUUCAUGCAUUCACCAACUAAACAUCACCUUGGAGUAGCCAAGAGAGUCUUAAGAUACAUUGCCGGGACUGUUGAUUUCGAAAUCUGGUAUGGAAAAAGUACCAACUGGAGGUUAAUUGGGUACACAGAUAGUGAUUGGGCUAGCUGUAUGGAUGACAUAAAAAGCACUACAGGGUUUGUGUUUAGUCUCGGGACAGGAGCUAUCAGCUAGAGCUCAAAAAAGCAGGCAACAACAGCUUUGUCCUCAUCUGAGGCAGAAUACAUGGCAGCAGCUGCUUCAGCGUGUCAAGCAGUAUGGCUAAGAAGAGUUUUGGAAGACUUUGGACAAGGACAAGAGGGUGCUACUGAAGUACUGUGCAAUAACAAGUCAGCUAUAUUAAUGUCCAGAAUCCAGUACGUCAUGGUCGCACUAAACACAUCGACAUCAAGGUGCAUUUCAUUAGGGAGCUGGUAUCAAAGGGCGAAAUCAAACUUGAGUACUACAGCACUGAAGCUCAAGUAGCUGAUAUACUGACGAAGUCACUUCCAGGAUACAAGCAUGAGCAGAUGAGAAAGAAGCUUGGAGUUUGUCGUUUUGAAUCAAGGGAGGGUGUUGAAAUAUGAUUCAAAACUGUUAACGUGUUGUCCUGAUAUUUAGGAAGUUGUUA